This 250-nucleotide ribosomal RNA is filed under the name uncultured bacterium. Its description in RNAcentral is "partial 16S ribosomal RNA". It matches the Rfam family "Bacterial small subunit ribosomal RNA", at positions 355 to 601 of the family's 1533-position model. The record is from RNAcentral.
GGAUGAAUAUUGGUCAAUGGGCGCAAGCCUGAACCAGCCAUCCCGCGUGCAGGAAGACGGCCCUAUGGGUUGUAAACUGCUUUUCCAGGAGGAGAAACUUGCGCACGUGUUGCGCAAUUGACGGUACCCUGGGAAUAAGCAUCGGCUAACUCCGUGCCAGCAGCCGCGGUAAUACGGAGGAUGCGAGCGUUAUCCGGAUUCAUUGGGUUUAAAGGGUGCGUAGGCGGACUAUUAAGUCAGUGGUGAAAUC